Molecule: ribosomal RNA, 617 nt
Filed under: Staphylococcus epidermidis
Lineage: Bacteria; Bacillati; Bacillota; Bacilli; Caryophanales; Staphylococcaceae
Description: bacterial SSU rRNA
Rfam family: Bacterial small subunit ribosomal RNA
Source: RNAcentral
CUUGCUCCUCUGACGUUAGCGGCGGACGGGUGAGUAACACGUGGAUAACCUACCUAUAAGACUGGGAUAACUUCGGGAAACCGGAGCUAAUACCGGAUAAUAUAUUGAACCGCAUGGUUCAAUAGUGAAAGACGGUUUUGCUGUCACUUAUAGAUGGAUCCGCGCCGCAUUAGCUAGUUGGUAAGGUAACGGCUUACCAAGGCAACGAUGCGUAGCCGACCUGAGAGGGUGAUCGGCCACACUGGAACUGAGACACGGUCCAGACUCCUACGGGAGGCAGCAGUAGGGAAUCUUCCGCAAUGGGCGAAAGCCUGACGGAGCAACGCCGCGUGAGUGAUGAAGGUCUUCGGAUCGUAAAACUCUGUUAUUAGGGAAGAACAAAUGUGUAAGUAACUAUGCACGUCUUGACGGUACCUAAUCAGAAAGCCACGGCUAACUACGUGCCAGCAGCCGCGGUAAUACGUAGGUGGCAAGCGUUAUCCGGAAUUAUUGGGCGUAAAGCGCGCGUAGGCGGUUUUUUAAGUCUGAUGUGAAAGCCCACGGCUCAACCGUGGAGGGUCAUUGGAAACUGGAAAACUUGAGUGCAGAAGAGGAAAGUGGAAUUCCAUGUGGUAAGC